RNAcentral lists this ribosomal RNA (119 nucleotides) under Triticum aestivum (bread wheat). Lineage: Eukaryota; Viridiplantae; Streptophyta; Magnoliopsida; Poales; Poaceae. The record is from RNAcentral.
GGAUGCGAUCAUACCAGCACUAAAGCACCAGAUCCCAUCAGAACUCCGAAGUUAAGCGUGCUUGGGCGAGAGUAGUACUGGGAUGGGUGACCUCCUGGGAAGUCCUCGUGUUGCGUUCC